AUAUAAUUUAGGUAUAAUGUACAUGGUCAUUUUACUUUUACUUUGACAUAUGCUUAUGUUCCUUUUUUUGUAGCCAGAUCAAACUCAGCACAGAUGCACAUGCACCGCGUGCCUCACUGAUGUGAGGAUCCAUUUCCUCAAUCCCCUCUUAAUCUCCAACAUCUCCCCCUUCCAAUGUUGGCGUACUUGACCGGAAGUGAGUGCGCGGCGGAGCAAAGAUCAGCCUGGGUCUUCAUCAACGCAAAACGGGGCGGGAGGGAGCGGGAAGUUUUUCAGCCGCAUGAAUGUGGACGGCGACUCAGAGAUGUAUGAAGCUUCUGCCGAGGUAAUUGAUGAGAGAAGCUCUCAUGUUUUGUUCUUGAUCCUCAAACAAAGCGACUGGUCAACAUGUUUCUGUACUAUGCCCAAAUGCCCUUACAUGUUUCAUCUUUCAUUUUUGUAGUCUUAAUAUAUGGGUCUCAUCUAUUUUUGGUUGCAGAUGUUUGAGAGAGGCAGCAUAGACAUAAGAGGGGUUCAAUAUUGUUAACUCACAUCAUCCAGACCAGGUUAGCACACAUGCCAUGCAGAUUCUACUACUUGAUGUAGCCUUUCUCUUAGAUGUAAGUAGUAUAUUUACUGUGCUACUCUUUGAUCUCGAGUAGUUUGUUCAUGUAUUGCUUAAGAUGCCAAAUAGAAUUAAAUGGAAUAUAAGUUUCAAAGUUUCAUUAUGACAGAUGAAAAGUACACGAAGGUAAACUAAUAUGUCUCCUGCCACUCACAUAGUCGUGGUUGUCCUUAACUAUAGUGUAGUUACGAGGAGGAGAUGAACAUGAAGAAUGAGUUCGUAAUGUGGUUGUCAUUGAUUAAUGGCACCCCCAGCAGCGGUGAUAACGACCAUGGAGAGGAGAGCACGAACAUCAACAACCUCUUGGCCUUGUUGGCUUCUCCGACAUCAAUAACGACGAUCAGCUCGCCAUACAGUUGCUAGAGUGCUAAAGAAUGGUCGAGAAGAACAAUGGAUUGUUGAUGGAGCCAAUCAACAAGGACGAUAAGGACGGUCACAACAGUGAGAAUAAGAAGGCGGAGCUCAUCGCCGUCGGCCGCCAGCUCUGCAGGGAGAAGAAGAACGACGAUGCGUUGAUUAUAAAGAAGUUAACAAUGCCACCUGGUGUGCAAAGGGUCCUCAAGGUAUAUGUUAUCCACCAUUGGUAUUGACCCAUUAGAAUAUGUAAGCCCUCGAUGCAACAUACGGGCAAUUUAUAUACAUCGUAGCCCAUAGCAACGUUGCCUGCAGCAUUGAAGUUGUAUAUAUUAGAAUAGAGUUAUGACGGCAUAAUUUUUUCCGUCACAAGUUAAAUGAGCAUUGUGUAAAAGUCUAACUAAGUUUUCUUUCGCAUUCUUCUAUAAAUUGGAAGUCCAAUAUAGAUUUCUCAAUGUAUCAUUUUGGGAUUAUUUGACCAUCGGACAAUAUUGCCAUGCUGACCAUUUCUCUUGUCUUUGCAAUAUCUAUAGGAUCUAAUGUAAAAGUAUAAUGUGCUUCACAAAUUUUUUAUUUCUUUUGAUUUUGCCUUGCUUGUUAUUUAUGCUUAUAGCUUUAUAUGCGAGAUUCUAUUUAGCGACACCUUUUUCAAUUGUGCGUUGAGGUGCUUCUGAGUUUA
Molecule: long non-coding RNA, 1637 nt
Filed under: Triticum aestivum (bread wheat)
Lineage: Eukaryota; Viridiplantae; Streptophyta; Magnoliopsida; Poales; Poaceae
Description: long non-coding RNA (TAES_LNC006026)
Source: RNAcentral